Molecule: ribosomal RNA, 118 nt
Filed under: Vibrio harveyi
Lineage: Bacteria; Pseudomonadati; Pseudomonadota; Gammaproteobacteria; Vibrionales; Vibrionaceae
Description: partial 16S ribosomal RNA
Rfam family: Bacterial small subunit ribosomal RNA
Source: RNAcentral
AGUAGGUAGUUUAACCUUCGGGAGGACGCUUACCACUUUGUGGUUCAUGACUGGGGUGAAGUCGUAACAAGGUAGCGCUAGGGGAACCUGGCGCUGGAUCACCUCCUUAUACGAUGAU